AUGGGGCAGAUGACGUGGUGGGUCCCAUCAUGUAAUCGGCUUGUGCUGAACCCAAAUCAGCAGAUGGGAAGUUUGCUGAAUAAUCCUUAAAGAAAGUGGAUCAACUGCACACAGAAUGAGUGGAUGGGGUAGGACACUAACCACGAUUAGAGCGGCUAAUGAUAAAUUGAGGAGACUCCCAUCCUUUGCAUCCAGAGCUGCCCUGCAUUGAGUAUUAUGACUGAGUUUGGUUCACACAUCCAGAAUAUAUGGUUUUACAAUAAAAACAUAAUAGGGUAGCUGAAAAAUAAGAAAACUGAUCUAGUCAUGGAGAAAUGGAGUAAUGAACAUCGAGCUGCAAUUGUGGAACUGUACUUCUCGAAUGGAAAUUCGGUCGUAGCAGCACAACGGCAGUUUCGGGAAAAAUUUGGAUUACGUGAUAGUCCAUCAAAGAUGUCCAUAUUGCGCUAUGUUUCUGCGUUUCGUGGUACAGGAAGUGUUAAAGAUGCACAAAGAAGUGGACGGCCUCGAACAGCGCGAACGGUUGGAAAUAUGGAAUCAGUCAGAGAAGCGGUGAUCAGGAGCCCUAAAAAAUCUGUGCGACGGCUGUCUCAAGAACUUGGUCUAAAAAGAGAGUCUGUGCGAAAAAUACUAAAACGGGAUUUGAAAUUAUUCCCUUACAAAAUCCAAGUUACCCAACAGUUAUUGCCUACUGACAAAGUGUCAAAAUCAGCCACAAUCAAUAAUGGCGCUGAAGGACAAUAUCCAAGAGGCUGUGCAGUUCAUUCCAGCCAAAACAUUCAGGAAAGUAAUGGAAAAUGUCAUUAUUCGAUGCCAUGAAUGUGUAGACAUACAAGGAAGUCAUCUUUCUGUUAUUAGUUUUAAAUAGUAGUUUAUUUCAUUUAAUAAGAAUGUAACAGCAAAGUCUGUACUUUUGAUUUUUUAUGCACUGAACACUGUCUUUGAAGAAAUAAAGUAAUUAUUAUUAAACUAAAUGGUAUCAUGACUUUUUGGUCACCUUGUAUCAUAAUGGAGUUCAUGGACAUUGACUAUAUAAAUAAGGUUUGGUUUUAUAUUUGUAUGUGAAGA
Molecule: long non-coding RNA, 1068 nt
Organism: Callorhinchus milii (elephant shark)
Lineage: Eukaryota; Metazoa; Chordata; Chondrichthyes; Chimaeriformes; Callorhinchidae
Exons: 3
Source: RefSeq, a predicted model, not a curated record